GCGGCAAAAGCUCAGAUCUGGAAUCGCUUUUGGGAGUUGUGAAUUGCAAGUUGGCGCCUCAGCCGCGGCGGCGGGCCAAGUCCCUUGGAACAGGGCGCCGUUGACGGUGAGAGCCCCGUGGGACCGUUUGCCUAUGCUCUGAGGCCCUUCUGACGAGUCGAGUUGUUUGGGAAUGCAACUCUAAUCGGGUGGUAAAUUCCAUCUAAGGCUAAAUACUGGCGAGAGACCGAUAGCGAACAAGUACUGUGAAGGAAAGAUGAAAAGCACUUUGAAAAGAGAGUGAAACAGCACGUGAAAUUGUUGAAAGGGAAGGGUAUUGCGCCCGACAUGGAGCGUGCGCACCGCUGCCCCUCGUGGGCGGCGCUCUGGGCGUGCUCUGGGCCAGCAUCGGUUUUUGCCGCGGGAGAAGGGCGGCGGGCAUGUAGCUCUUCCGAGUGUUAUAGCCUGCCGCCGGCGCCGCGAGCGGGGACCGAGGACUGCGACUUUUGUCUCGGAUGCUGGACAACGGCGCAACACCGC
RNAcentral lists this ribosomal RNA (519 nucleotides) under Pichia sp. Its description in RNAcentral is "eukaryotic LSU rRNA". It matches the Rfam family "Eukaryotic large subunit ribosomal RNA", at positions 98 to 648 of the family's 3401-position model. Lineage: Eukaryota; Fungi; Ascomycota; Pichiomycetes; Pichiales; Pichiaceae. The record is from RNAcentral.